CACGAAUUGGCUUAGCAAAAUUUCAAAGCCUCCAUCUCUAAUGUUUGUAGCAUAUUAAGGUAAGUAACUCAGGGACAUUCAGACCUGUGUGGCUCACAGCCUGUCCAGUGUGCUUGUGGCUAUUCUCACUGUUGACUCUGUACUUUUCCGAGCAUUUUUGCUGACAAGCACUUGGGCUUGCUGAGAGAGAUCAUUUGUAUCCAGUGGAGAGAUCUGGGAGAAAGGCAUCAGUGUCUUUGUAUUAGAAAUGCAAUAACUGUGUUAAUCUGUUUUCUGUUGCUGUAUCAAAAUAUAAAGACAAAAUGUCAAAGAAAAGAGGGUCACCUAGCUCACAGUUCCCGAGGUCCCAGAGCAUGGAUCCUGCUCCUGCUCAGCUCUGGUGAGGCCCAUUUGGCUACAUGGCAACAUGGUGGGUGGUGUUGCUGUGGGAGUGUGUGUGAGAGAGAGAGACCCUAUAGUGGGAUUCAGGGGCCAGACUCUCUGUGUUAUCCUGCUCUUUUGGGAACAGGGAUCCUAUGAAAACUGCGUCAACCCCUUUCUAGUCACCUUGCAGCAGGCUUCACCUCUUACAUUGCCCCUCAGCACUGCCACUCUGAAGACCAGGCUUCCAGCACAGGAACCUGUGGGGAAAUACUCACAUACCCUAGUCAUGGUGCUGAUGGUGCUGAUACUUGUUGAUGCUCACAGUGGCUGGGCCUGGUUCUCAGGGCUUCCUGUGUAGCUCGUGCACUUUAUUACUCAUAGAAACUCUGCUAGGUUCUUUCUCCUUACAGAUGUAAGCAGCUGUGGCCCAGAGAGAUUGAGUAGCUUCCCCGGGUCACGUGGUUGGUGUGCAAAGACCAGGGAUUGCAACUCUGGCCGCUCGCCUCCCGAGUCGGCCUCCCUGGGAACUCAGUCCCUCUGAUCUGUGUUAGACACAUAGAAAAAAGCACCUGUGUCCCAUAAGUAGUUGUCCACAUUUUUGGAAAAGGUUUGCUCUUAUGCCUAUUUAAGCUGUUGCCAUUUAUUAGAUUUUUAUCUUUUGUAAAGUAAGUUAUUUGCUUGCAUCUAAUAUUGUUAUUGAAACGUGGUAAGAAAAUUUUUUUUUAUUUAUACAAAUGUAGGAAAGCCUGUAUUUCCAGUAAACAACUUGGCAGUGCAACAGUGUUUGACACAGAACUUCAAAGAAUGAAUUUAGAGGUGACAGCUGUAGAAUGACCAAGCAAUCUGGGUAAUUUUCUACAAUAAACAGCAUAUAUUAGGCCUCUUUGUUCCCUUACCCCAUCCUCUGACACUGUGUGUUCUAGAACUGGCCGGCUGCGUGUUUGGAGCAGCCCCACUGGCUGUAGGCAGAGUUCACCAGGACGUCUUCUG
RNAcentral lists this long non-coding RNA (1353 nucleotides) under Marmota monax (woodchuck). The record is from RNAcentral. Lineage: Eukaryota; Metazoa; Chordata; Mammalia; Rodentia; Sciuridae.